This 450-nucleotide ribosomal RNA is filed under the name uncultured bacterium. Its description in RNAcentral is "partial 16S ribosomal RNA". It matches the Rfam family "Bacterial small subunit ribosomal RNA", at positions 354 to 796 of the family's 1533-position model. The record is from RNAcentral.
GUGGGGAAUCUUCCACAAUGGACGAAAGUCUGAUGGAGCAACGCCGCGUGAGUGAAGAAGGGUUUCGGCUCGUAAAGCUCUGUUGUCGGGGACGAAUGUGCAGUAUUUGAAUAAAGUACUGUAAUGACGGUACCUGACGAGGAAGCCACGGCUAACUACGUGCCAGCAGCCGCGGUAAUACGUAGGUGGCAAGCGUUGUCCGGAAUUAUUGGGCGUAAAGGGAGCGCAGGCGGGAAGGUAAGUCGGUCUUAAAAGUGCGGGGCUCAACCCCGGGAUGGGAUCGAAACUAGCUUGAUUGAGUGCAGGAGAGGAAAGUGGAAUUCCUAGUGUAGCGGUGAAAUGCGUAGAUAGUAGGAGGAACACCAGUGGCGAAGGCGACUUUCUGGACUGUAACUGACGCUGAGGCUCGAAAGCCAGGGGAGCGAACGGGAUUAGAAACCCUAGUAGUCC